ACGGGGUGCAGCAGGCGCGAAAACUCCGCAAUGCGGGAAACCGCGACGGGGCCACCCCGAGUGCCGGCCGAAGAGGCCGGCUUUUGCCCGGUGUAAGGAGCCGGGCGAAUAAGCGGGGGGCAAGUCUGGUGUCAGCCGCCGCGGUAAUACCAGCCCCGCGAGUGGUCGGGGUGAUUACUGGGCCUAAAGCGCCCGUAGCCGGCCCGGCAAGUCCUCCCCGAAAUCCCCGGGCUCAACCCGGGGGCUGGGGAGGAUACUGCCGGGCUUGGGGGCGGGAGAGGCCGAGGGUACUCCCGGGGUAGGGGCGAAAUCCGAUAAUCCCGGGAGGACCACCAGUGGCGAAGGCGCUCGGCUGGAACGCGCCCGACGGUGAGGGGCGAAAGCUGGGGGAGCAAAGGGGAUUAGAUACCCCUGUAGUCCCAGCUGUAAACGAUGCGGG
Molecule: ribosomal RNA, 439 nt
Filed under: uncultured archaeon
Lineage: Archaea
Description: bacterial SSU rRNA
Rfam family: Archaeal small subunit ribosomal RNA
Source: RNAcentral